RNAcentral lists this ribosomal RNA (463 nucleotides) under uncultured bacterium. Its description in RNAcentral is "partial 16S ribosomal RNA". It matches the Rfam family "Bacterial small subunit ribosomal RNA", at positions 28 to 505 of the family's 1533-position model. The record is from RNAcentral.
GACGAACGCUGGCGGCGUGCUUAACACAUACAAGUCGAACGGAAAGGCCCUGCUUGCAGGGUACUCGAGUGGCGAACGGGUGAGUAACACGUGGGUGAUCUGCCCUGCACUUCGGGAUAAGCCUGGGAAACUGGGUCUAAUACCGGAUAGGAGCCAUUUUUAGUGUGAUGGUUGGAAAGUUUUUUCGGUGUAGGAUGAGCUCGCGGCCUAUCAGCUUGUUGGUGGGGUAAUGGCCUACCAAGGCGGCGACGGGUAGCCGGCCUGAGAGGGUGGACGGCCACAUUGGGACUGAGAUACGGCCCAGACUCCUACGGGAGGCAGCAGUGGGGAAUAUUGCACAAUGGGCGCAAGCCGGAUGCAGCGACGCCGCGUGGGGGAUGACGGCCUUCGGGUUGUAAACUCCUUUCGCUAGGGACGAAGCUUUUUGUGACGGUACCUAGAUAAGAAGCACCGGCUAACUACG